RNAcentral lists this ribosomal RNA (471 nucleotides) under uncultured organism. RNAcentral's name for it is "partial 16S ribosomal RNA". It matches the Rfam family "Bacterial small subunit ribosomal RNA", at positions 333 to 796 of the family's 1533-position model. The record is from RNAcentral.
ACACUCCUACGGGAGGCAGCAGUGGGGAAUAUUGCACAAUGGGCGCAAGCCUGAUGCAGCCAUGCCGCGUGUAUGAAGAAGGCCUUCGGGUUGUAAAGUACUUUCAGCGGGGAGGAAGGCAAUACGGUUAAUAACCGUGUUGAUUGACGUUAUCCGCAGAAGAAGCACCGGCUAACUCCGUGCCAGCAGCCGCGGUAAUACGGAGGGUGCAAGCGUUAAUCGGAAUUACUGGGCGUAAAGCGCACGCAGGCGGUCUGUCAAGUCGGAUGUGAAAUCCCCGGGCUCAACCUGGGAACUGCAUUCGAAACUGGCAGGCUUGAGUCUUGUAGAGGGGGGUAGAAUUCCAGGUGUAGCGGUGAAAUGCGUAGAGAUCUGGAGGAAUACCGGUGGCGAAGGCGGCCCCCUGGACAAAGACUGACGCUCAGGUGCGAAAGCGUGGGGAGCAAACAGGAUUAGAAACCCUAGUAGUCC